This 292-nucleotide ribosomal RNA is filed under the name uncultured bacterium. Its description in RNAcentral is "partial 16S ribosomal RNA". The record is from RNAcentral.
GGACUACCGGGGUUUCUAAUCCUGUUUGCUACCCACGCUUUCGCGCCUCAGUGUCAGUUGCGGUCCAGGUAGUCGCCUUCGCCACUGGUGUUCCUUCCGAUCUCUACGCAUUUCACCGCUACACCGGAAAUUCCACUACCCUCUACCGCACUCUAGCUAUGCAGUUUAAAAUGCAAUUCCUAGGUUAAGCCCAGGGAUUUCACAUCUUACUUGCACAACCACCUACGCGCCCUUUACGCCCAGUAACUCCGAUUAACGCUUGCACCCUCUGUAUUACCGCGGCUGCUGGCAC